This 30-nucleotide non-coding RNA is filed under the name Homo sapiens (human). Lineage: Eukaryota; Metazoa; Chordata; Mammalia; Primates; Hominidae. The record is from RNAcentral.
UGGAUACGUGCAAGGUCUCUGAGGCAGUGC